GUUUGAUCCUGGCUCAGAUUGAACGCUGGCGGAAUGCUUUACACAUGCAAGUCGAACGGCAGCACGGGGCAACCUGGUGGCGAGUGGCGAACGGGUGAGUAAUAUAUCGGAACGUGCCCAAUCGUGGGGGAUAACGUAGCGAAAGUUACGCUAAUACCGCAUACGAUCUACGGAUGAAAGCGGGGGAUCGCAAGACCUCGCGCGAAUGGAGCGGCCGAUAUCAGAUUAGGUAGUUGGUGGGGUAAAGGCUCACCAAGCCAACGAUCUGUAGCUGGUCUGAGAGGACGACCAGCCACACUGGAACUGAGACACGGUCCAGACUCCUACGGGAGGCAGCAGUGGGGAAUUUUGGACAAUGGGCGCAAGCCUGAUCCAGCCAUUCCGCGUGCAGGAUGAAGGCCUUCGGGUUGUAAACUGCUUUUGUACGGAACGAAACGGUCUGCCCUAAUACGGCGGGCUAAUGACGGUACCGUAAGAAUAAGCACCGGCUAACUACGUGCCAGCAGCCGCGGUAAUACGUAGGGUGCAAGCGUUAAUCGGAAUUACUGGGCGUAAAGCGUGCGCAGGCGGUUAUAUAAGACAGAUGUGAAAUCCCCGGGCUCAACCUGAGAACUGCAUUUGUGACUGUAUAGCUAGAGUACGGCAGAGGGGGAUGGAAUUCCGCGUGUAGCAGUGAAAUGCGUAGAUAUGCGGAGGAACACCGAUGGCGAAGGCAAUCCCCUGGGCCUGUACUGACGCUCAUGCACGAAAGCGUGGGGAGCAAACAGGAUUAGAUACCCUGGUAGUCCACGCCCUAAACGAUGUCAACUGGUUGUUGGGUCUUCACUGACUCAGUAACGAAGCUAACGCGUGAAGUUGACCGCCUGGGGAGUACGGCCGCAAGGUUGAAACUCAAAGGAAUUGACG
This 906-nucleotide ribosomal RNA is filed under the name uncultured bacterium. RNAcentral's name for it is "bacterial SSU rRNA". It matches the Rfam family "Bacterial small subunit ribosomal RNA", at positions 11 to 915 of the family's 1533-position model. The record is from RNAcentral.